RNAcentral lists this transfer RNA (70 nucleotides) under Marmota monax (woodchuck). Its description in RNAcentral is "tRNA.Ala". Lineage: Eukaryota; Metazoa; Chordata; Mammalia; Rodentia; Sciuridae. The record is from RNAcentral.
GGGCUGGGGCUCAGUGCUGGAGCGCUUGCCUAGCACGUGCAAGGCCCUGGGUUCGAUCCUCAGCACCCCA